Long non-coding RNA from Anguilla rostrata (American eel), 1002 nucleotides. RefSeq lists it as uncharacterized. The transcript has 2 exons. The record is from RefSeq and is a predicted model, not a curated record. NCBI's taxonomy places the organism in Eukaryota, Metazoa, Chordata, Actinopteri, Anguilliformes, Anguillidae.
CAAAAAUAUGAAACACAGAAGAUCCCACUAGCAAUGGUGGUCUCCUGGCAUGAAACCAGCAGCAGCUGUGCCAAAGCAGCCUAUGUGUUUGUUACCAAACGCGGAAGGCGCAUAUGUGUGGAUCCUACUGAUGCUUGGGUGAGGAGCCACGCAGCUCAGGUGGACAGCAGGUCAGCCACCACUGUAGUGCCAGGAACCAGCGAGAUGAACACUAAAGCCUAAGGCCAGCCCUAACACCCCAGCGGGCUGUCAAUCUGUACGAAGACUUCCUGUUGGACACUGCGAUGGGACACACAAAAACAUAAGAGAGGAAUGUAUCUAAUUACAUCUGAUAUUCCUGGAUUUAAUUCAUGCAAUAUUGUCUGUUCUUUUCCUGUUCAUAAUGCAUUGUUUCUUUUCCUACAUUCAUUUUUCUGUUUUAUAAUUUGUACAUAAUAUUUUUUCCAGGAAACUUAUUAAAUGCUUUUGUAACAAACUUUGUUUUUUGUUUAAAGUUUUUUGAUUAUUCCUGCUUAAAUUCACAAAGCAGGAAAAAAAUCCUUACAGUAAAGCAACUUUACUAAACAUUGCAACAUGUGCAUGUUUGUUGCAUGUCACAAACUAAGAUCUAAGAUGAAGUGUACUUACAGCAAACAUUGCCAGUUCAAUGUUCAGCUCAAAUUGCUGAUUUGUUUUAGAUUGUGUUCAAACAAGGAUGUGACUUAUGCCUGGAGAAAAGUCAUAAGUCACGUGAAUUUUAGCAAUGAAAUUUAGCACUUUUUGGCAAGUUGCUAUAAAAGGUGACUGCUGCACCAUCCAGUGACUAUUUUGUAUCCGUUUAAUAUCAUAAUUUUAAAAUAUUACAAUAAAACUAAAUGCCAGGAUUCAUAUGAUUCGUAUGGUCAGGCCAGCUUCAUAUCAUUUUGAAAUUUUCAACAAUAAUUAAUUGUUCAAAAUAUCAAAGAGUGCUCAUACUUAAACCUCUCGUAUCGGAAUAACUGUUAUCAACAGUAAAAAUGAAAA